UAGGGAAUCUUCCACAAUGGACGCAAGUCUGAUGGAGCAACGCCGCGUGAGUGAAGAAGGUCUUCGGAUCGUAAAGCUCUGUUGUUGGUGAAGAAGGAUAGAGGCAGUAACUGGUCUUUAUUUGACGGUAAUCAACCAGAAAGUCACGGCUAACUACGUGCCAGCAGCCGCGGUAAUACGUAGGUGGCAAGCGUUGUCCGGAUUUAUUGGGCGUAAAGCGAGCGCAGGCGGAAUGAUAAGUCUGAUGUGAAAGCCCACGGCUCAACCGUGGAACUGCAUCGGAAACUGUCAUUCUUGAGUGCAGAAGAGGAGAGUGGAACUCCAUGUGUAGCGGUGGAAUGCGUAGAUAUAUGGAAGAACACCAGUGGCGAAGGCGGCUCUCUGGUCUGCAACUGACGCUGAGGCUCGAAAGCAUGGGUAGCGAACAGGAUUAGAUACCUGGUAGUCCAUGCCGUAAACGAUGAGCGCUAGGUGUUGGGGACUUUCCGGUCCUCAGUGCCGCAGCAAACGCAUUAAGCGCUCCGCCUGGGGAGUACGACCGCAAGGUUG
This 549-nucleotide ribosomal RNA is filed under the name uncultured bacterium. Its description in RNAcentral is "partial 16S ribosomal RNA". It matches the Rfam family "Bacterial small subunit ribosomal RNA", at positions 355 to 896 of the family's 1533-position model. The record is from RNAcentral.